UGGGACGAACUUGGGUGUCUCUUUAAAUUUGUUCCAUCAGUUGUCCAAUCAUACACAUUCACGGUUCUAUAAAAGGGGACUUUUAAUGCACCGUGUUGUGCUCACCUCUUGUGCGUCAUUGCCCGAGGCCCGCCCCUUCCUGGCUUAGACUCUUCCUGUCUUGCAGUUCCCGACAUAUAACUGUCUCAUGUUGCUUGGCGACUGCUUUUAAAUGCACUCCCACUGCAUUCCCAUACCUUCUUGCCGGUUUGAUGUCUGUUUGCGUGUGCGGCUGGAUGUGUGAUCAUAGCUACAAUAAAAAGGUGGAACAGUUUUAAGGAGGACUCAUUCAGUGCAGCCUGCGGGCAAACGUAUUUUGAUGCUGCUGCUUUGUUUAUGUUGUUUCAUGUCUGUUUUGCAAUCUAACGCAGAGGCGUGAGUUGGCGCGGGUAUUGGUCCUCUCCAUUGGACCAACUUUUCUGCGUUCUGCUUAUUGGACUGUGGAAUUUGCAAUUUGUUUCAGUUUGUUUUCAUUUAAUUGGCACCUGGUCAUGAAACUGGGGUGAAUAUUCAGUUAUUUCUUUACAAUUUCCCAGGUGUUUUGAUUGGUUGGUUUAAGUCUUUAUUUGUUUUCAUUGUAUUUCAUUCAACUGCUAAGUAUUCUAUUAUUAUUAUUAUUAUUAUUAUUAUUAUUAUUAUUAUUAUUAUUUCUUUGAUUAUUUUUUUCUUUGAGAAUUAAAUUUGAUUAACUGUGUUUUGUUCUGGGAAUCGAGGUUUUAGGCAGACUGCUAGUUGGCCCUUGUGUGCGGUGGUGGGACUCUGUCAAAGGGUGCAGUGUGUUCACGUUUGACCUUACUGUGUGUGUGUGUGUGUGGUGUGAAGUGUGCACUUGGUGUUAUGCUUCUGGCAAUAUAGUAGCCACAUACUCAUUAAGCUAGCCUAUCUGUCUUAGGUAAACCUCGGUUUCCUUUUGUUUUGUUGGUUUUGUAUGCCUUCUCUACUUCAAUUCAUAGUGACGUUUUAAGAUUAAUA
This is a long non-coding RNA of Cyprinus carpio (common carp), 1011 nucleotides long. RefSeq lists it as uncharacterized. NCBI's taxonomy places the organism in Eukaryota, Metazoa, Chordata, Actinopteri, Cypriniformes, Cyprinidae. The transcript has 3 exons. The record is from RefSeq and is a predicted model, not a curated record.